AUACGGAGGGUGCGAGCGUUAAUCGGAAUUACUGGGCGUAAAGCGUGCGUAGGCGGUUUGUUAAGUCAGAAGUGAAAGCCCUGGGCUCAACCUGGGAACGGCUUUUGAGACUGGCAGACUCGAGUUGAGUAGAGGGGAGUGGAAUUUCCGGUGUAGCGGUGAAAUGCGUAGAGAUCGGAAGGAACACCAGUGGCGAAGGCGACUCCCUGGACUCAAACUGACGCUGAGGUACGAAAGCGUGGGUAGCAAACAGGAUUAGAUACCCCAGUAGUCC
Molecule: ribosomal RNA, 274 nt
Filed under: uncultured bacterium
Lineage: Bacteria
Description: partial 16S ribosomal RNA
Rfam family: Bacterial small subunit ribosomal RNA
Source: RNAcentral